This is a long non-coding RNA of Acanthopagrus latus (yellowfin seabream), 799 nucleotides long. RefSeq lists it as uncharacterized. The transcript is spliced from 2 exons. Lineage: Eukaryota; Metazoa; Chordata; Actinopteri; Spariformes; Sparidae. The record is from RefSeq and is a predicted model, not a curated record.
UUUAGUUUGUGUCUCUCAUGAUUGUAAUUUUAUAUGUUUAAUUUUGGAGGACAGUUGUGUUAUGUGAUGAAUCACUAUUCAGAGUCUUCUACAAGUGCAGAUGACAAGCUGGCAGGGCUACUGGAAAGCCCAGUGACGUCCGUCCACCUUGGACUUGAAUCUGGCUUACUGACGCUACAGGUCAACAGCCUACUAGUUAACCAGCUACAGCUAAUUCUCUAUAAAUUCCCACAAUCAGGGAGGACUGUCAACAUCCAAGACAAGAUCAGAGGGUCCCUACUUUCUAAUCCACAGGCCGUUGGCAUGUUGACGAAGUCCUGGCUUUCACCGCAAGUUAAUUGAAAACAAUGUUCACAUGCACGGCGCUUAGGCCCAGGCUGAGGGAGCUGUUAGCCAAGGGCUAUCCACAGCCCUUGGCUAAGCAUGUGCAGUGUGAAAAGCCCUUAUUCAUACUGUUUCAUUUUGAACAGAGAUUAUGAGAACUAAUAUUACCCUUACAAAGACUACACACAUCCAUUUAUGUAGCCACUUGGGGGUUUGGGUGAGAAAAGAGGGCAGAAAAGCACCAGAAGUCUGAUGGUGGGCACGAAUCAAAGGGGCACUUUUACAAGACUUCAAUUGUGAAGAAGCUGCAGGCAUGUGUGUGUUUAGUUAGCCAGGGGUCUGAAUCUAGAUGGUUUCUUCCCCCCUUUUCCCCCCUAUUCUUUGCCCUUUUCAAAUACAUGGCAGACAUAGUCGGCUAGUGUGCAUCUGCAUCCUCUCAGAAGCUACCGAGAUGUAAUAAAGUAAGGAAUGAUGA